Long non-coding RNA from Hydra vulgaris (swiftwater hydra), 680 nucleotides. RefSeq lists it as uncharacterized. Lineage: Eukaryota; Metazoa; Cnidaria; Hydrozoa; Anthoathecata; Hydridae. The record is from RefSeq and is a predicted model, not a curated record.
GCGGAGAAACUAAGUUGAGCGCGGUACUUCCAGGGACGUGGUGGGAGUCGAACUCCAAACCUCUCGCUUACAAAGCGAGCGCUCUUACCACUACACCACUGCCGCAUAUAUAUAUAUAUACUGGCUUCGGCAGGAAUAAAAACCGUACGGGCUAUGAAAAGCCCGUCUUAAAUAGACUUGGCGGGCUAUGAGGGCCGCCCGUCUAGAUAGUCUUGCACGGGCUUUUUUAAACUUUAAAAAAAAUUCUAAAACUUUUUUUUUUUAAAUUUGUUAAUUUCUCUCCUUCUUUUUGAAUAAAAAUGUCAUUGAAUAUUAAACAUUUUGUGAAUUGCACUAAAAUGAUAUGUUAGAAAGCGAUUAACUGUUUAAAAUGCUUAAUUACUUAAGUAACUAAAACACUGCAGUAAAUGAGUUGAAGAAUACUUAAAACUAAGAUUUCAAUAAUUGUUUUUCAGAAUUUUCACUUGCACAGAUCUAAUUUCGUUUCACGUGGAUAAUAUCUGACAGAUAUAGUCAAACGAAUGAACGUGAAAACGACGGGAAAAAUCCUCGAAACAACCAUGGCGUUUCAUCACGUUUCCUUAUUCAAGCAUCCUAACGUGUUUUUUUACCGAAGUCUUUUUGAGUAUAUUUAUAUAUUAUUGUUUUAUUCAAGUAUUCGAUUAAAUUAUACAGGUUUU